AUGUUUGAAUAUCUGAAUCUAGAAAUGCCCAAGACAAUGGAACUUUUCAAAGAUAACAGGUACCUGUCAACCUUGAUAGAAGGGCUCCUGGAUGUGUUUCCAGGGAGACUGCCUACCACGGACCUCCGUAUGCAGGCACCAAGAUUCUGGAUGAUAGAUUAGAACUUUUAACCGAAGCAAGCAGACAGAUUUGAAAUGCCAACGUGAACUGUGAGACAGACCUAGAAUGGGUUACGUGACUGCAACCAACGUAGAAAGACUGCACCAGCAGAAAUGGGGAAGGCUCCCACCAGAUUUCUUCAUGAACUCAAUGUGUGCUUCCUGUAGUUGACCCAUAGGUGUGGGGUGGUGGUGGUGGGGUCAAUCUUAAGCAUCACAAAGAGUGUAAAAUAUCUCAUGUUAAUUUUUAUAUUGGUUACUCAUUUAAAUGACAGUUUUGUAUAUCUUGAGUUAAAUAAAAUGCAUUAUUAAAAUUAAUUUCACUUGUUUGUUUUUUACAUUUUUAACGUGGGUACUAGAAAAUGUGAAACUAACCAUGUUGUUAGCAUUUGCUGCUUGCAUUGCAUUUCUAUUGAACAUUACUA
Molecule: long non-coding RNA, 584 nt
Filed under: Callithrix jacchus (white-tufted-ear marmoset)
Lineage: Eukaryota; Metazoa; Chordata; Mammalia; Primates; Cebidae
Description: lncRNA (ENSCJAG00000064807.2)
Source: RNAcentral